Molecule: RNA transcript, 1525 nt
Organism: Stegodyphus dumicola
Lineage: Eukaryota; Metazoa; Arthropoda; Arachnida; Araneae; Eresidae
Source: RefSeq, a predicted model, not a curated record
UCUAUUCAUUCAUCUUCAUAAAGAGGAUUUAAAUAUGGAUGCAGCAUAAGAGGCAAAUGUUAUGAAUUAAGUUUGUAACAUGUCGUUUAAGGCGAUGAAGAGUUUCAAGAAAUGUUGCUUUAUUUAUGAAGAAGAGAAAGCCAUCUUUUUAGCAUUUAGGAGUUGUAACUUUUAUUUACUACUCAGUAAGCACCUAUCUGUACAGCUAAGAAAUCUCAUUAUGUGAGGCCAAGUCUGGUUUUUUUCCUUUCUGAAUGACAGAAUUUAGAAAAAGCAAAGUUCUUAGAACUUAUAGUAUCAAUCAGUGAUAGGUUUGGGGAGAUUAUAUUGAAUGGUCUAUCCGUGACCCUGUGUGAGAUAUAUAAAUUCUCAUUUCAUCAAAAUAAAUUGUAAACAAUUUAUUAGUUUCCACAAGUUAAAAUAUUCUUUAAAAUAUUUUGAUGUGGUAAUUUUAGUGUCUACAUCUGUUGCAUAGUGAAAUGUAUUAUAUAUAUCGGAACUUCAAACACUUAAAUUCUAAAAGGUGGCUAAAUAUUUCAUCCAGUAUGCAUACUGUGAAUUAUAUGCAUUUUAUGUUAAACUCAUCUAUUUAUGAAUUUAAUGCAGAUAUGAAUUACAGCUUUGCAUUACUGAUAGAAAUGCUUUUCUUGUGCCUGUCAUGAAAAAUGUAUCAUGUAUUUCCACUUAUGGUGAACAAUUAUUGACAACCAUGCCUAUCUGGGUCCAGAAUCAAAUGUGUCAGUGUAUAAACAUUCACAAAUCCAGUGCAGGGUUCCACAGCAAUGUUAAAAUGGUGAAAUUAUGUCUCAGUAUUUUCAGUUAAAUCUUGAGCAUAUCAAAUAUAGCAUUCCCAUGUGUGUAAUGCAUAUACAACAGAAGGAAAGAUUAUUUCUGUGUAGUUCCAGAAGCACUAAGGGAAAAAAGGUUUUCUUUCGCAAAGUGCCCGUUGGCACUUCGGCAAAGAGCCCACUGGCACUGUUGCAGUUUUACUCACCAACAGUUGAUCAACAUCAAGAUGUGCGGCAUAGGGUUAAAAGAUAUUAAAUCCAUGGAAUCUUGAUAGUGGCUUACACAUGAUGAAAUAUUUGACAGAUUAUAUUGGAGUACCCGACUUCAGUAUCCUUCUGCUUGGCUACUGGUGGACUUCCACUAAGAAGGAAAAAAAGACUAAGAAGGAACUAUCUCUUCCAAAGCAUAACCAAUUUUCUUUGCAAAGAUAUAUGUAUCAAACCUAUGCUUCCAAUGAAAGAAACAUAUUUUUGUCAUCAGCUUAAUUUGUCUGUUGUAAAACUUUCCAAAAUGUAAGAAGUAUAUCCUUGAGUUUACUGGCUUCAGUACAGAAAGAAUGAAAUAAAAUGAGAGACUGCAAAAUUUUGUUAAUGGUGUUUGCUCUGAAAAAACAAAAACUGUUGUAUUUUGUAAAAAUAACAAAUUUUAUUUUACCAGUAGCCAAUAGCAACAUUUUCAUAUGCAUAUUUCUAUAGAAAACUGUAACAUCUGUUGUUUUAUAAUAAAACGUCUCUAA